This 442-nucleotide ribosomal RNA is filed under the name uncultured bacterium. RNAcentral's name for it is "bacterial SSU rRNA". It matches the Rfam family "Bacterial small subunit ribosomal RNA", at positions 29 to 516 of the family's 1533-position model. The record is from RNAcentral.
AACGAACGCUGGCGGCAGGCCUAACACAUGCAAGUCGAGCGCGCCUUUCGGGGUGAGCGGCGGACGGGUUAGUAACGCGUGGGAACGUACCCUUUUCUGCGGAAUAGCCUCUGGAAACGGAGAGUAAUACCGCAUACGCCCUUUGGGGGAAAGAUUUAUCGGAGAAGGAUCGGCCCGCGUUAGAUUAGAUAGUUGGUGGGGUAACGGCCUACCAAGUCUACGAUCUAUAGCUGGUUUUAGAGGAUGAUCAGCAACACUGGGACUGAGACACGGCCCAGACUCCUACGGGAGGCAGCAGUGGGGAAUCUUGGACAAUGGGCGCAAGCCUGAUCCAGCCAUGCCGCGUGAGUGAAGAAGGCCUUAGGGUCGUAAAGCUCUUUCGCCUGUGAUGAUAAUGACAGUAGCAGGUAAAGAAACCCCGGCUAACUCCGUGCCAGCAAGG